Molecule: long non-coding RNA, 2112 nt
Organism: Cebus imitator (Panamanian white-faced capuchin)
Lineage: Eukaryota; Metazoa; Chordata; Mammalia; Primates; Cebidae
Exons: 5
Source: RefSeq, a predicted model, not a curated record
GUGGCCUCUGUGGCCAGGGAGCUGCAGGCAAGGGACUAAGGGGAGGGGGGCUCAGUGCCAGCUGCUUAAAAAUGCCCCUGUGGCAGUGAGGGGCACCAGAGUCUGGGUCAAAUUAGUUGAGAAGCAGUGACACCCUCAACCACUCCCCACACAGGCUGGCUCCCAUCUCCAGGCCCCAAGGAGUCACACCUGGACCAGACCCCAGGAAAGGCAAGGGCACUAGCUGGUGAAAGCCACCCGUGCCACACUGAUGUUGGAGAAGCAAGAACUCAGGAGAAGCAGCCUCCUGGGACCAGAGGAGGGCCAGCGGCAGCCAGCUUGGAGACAGGACUCCUCUCCCAUGGCCAUUGCUGCUGCCUGGGACUUGGGCCCAGCCUAAGGCUCCAACCAGAGCCCAGAGCCCUGUCCUUGAGCAGAUCCACUUCAUCUCUCAGUCCUGCAGCUGGGCUGAGUGGGGAGUGGUCAGCUAAGAAGACACUGACCUGGAGAUGAGAUACAGGGGAUGCUUCUGUAGGAAGAAGGAGCUUGUGGACAGACAAUGCUGUGUUAAAGGCGGCAUCUCGCUGGAAAGCUGCUGUCAAAUAACUUAGCCUCUCCAAGUCAGUUUUCCCUUCUGCGAAAUGAGGAUACAUGAGCUGCCACCUCACAGAAUGACUCUCACCCACACCUCCCUAAGCCUCCUGACAGAAGACAGAGGUUCCCCCCAGACCAGCGACAUUUCCUGAAGACAUGGGGACCACAGAGGCAGAAACAGUCCAUCCACCCACAAGCUGCCAGCAGCCGGUACCCAGAGCCACCCAGUAAAACUGAGGCCACCUGGUUCAACAUCGCCUUUCACAGAAGGGGAAACAGAGCCACAGAGAGAAGGGCCUGGUGAGAAGUGGAGCCCAGGACUCCCAGGCGGUGCCUCUCAACCUUGGGAUCCGGAGUAGGAGGGAGCCUUUGGUGGGGUAAGUGGAAUGGAUAGGGGCGGCCAUAGACCCCUCUUCUCAGUGAGGCCCUCAUGUGUUGGAGGCAGGGGUUGGGACAAGUGCUAAGUAUGCAAGACUCAAGGGAAGAGCUCCUGGAGCCAGGAGAAGCACCUCCCUCCCAGCCCCUGUGCCCCUCCCCUCAGCCCAGUUGCACUGACUCCUCCUCCAGGAAGGCGUCUCAGCUUCCCUGGUGGAGGCGGAAAUGUUUUGUCCUCUAAGUGUGCUUGGCUGUCCUUUCUUGAGUGCCACCCCGUCUCUCCCCCAACCCCUUGGCUUGGGUCUGCCCCUAUUCACCUUGCCAGGAGCAUUUUCCUUCUACUCCAUCCGACUGAGGUCCUCCAGGUCAAGGAUGGUGUGACUCUCAGACACACUUCCCCUCGGGACAUAGAAGAGGCCCUGCGCUGAAUAGACAGGUGAAAUGAUUAGACUCUGCUCCCAAACCAAAGGUCUAGCAAACUGCUCAGGGCAUGAGCCAUCCAGCGUAGAGGUUAACGUGAGGGUCCUGGGUUAGGAACCCCAGAUCAGUUCCCAGCUCUGUACCCUUGGAAAAUUCCUUUCCCAUGGAGCCUUGGGGAUGCACAGGGACUUACACAAUGAAAAUAUUUAAUAUCCAGGACUAAGCAGUUCCACGAAUGACCAUGCUUAUUACAUUCAUUAUCAUUAUGAUUAUUCCAGACACAAAGGAACAGAAUGAGGCCCUGACAGCCAGGGGUGAGCAGAUUCAAGGGCCUCAGAGGAGAGGGAGGCAAACACCCUUUGCUGUUCAGAGGCUGCGCUUCAGCCCUCGUCCCUGCAUUAGUUUCUCUCACAGAGGCGUGGGGCUGCCUCCCAUCUAGUUCCUGUUUGUAAACCCAGGGGAGAUGCUAUCUUUGCUGCAGUAAUCUUAGCCCACAUCUUGGAAUGGAAAUGGCCUUGGUGGAAAUGGCCUUCAAUUCCCCUGGUCCAAGCUCAGGCCCUGUGACCUGGGAACAAUCCCCUUCCCUUCCUGGUCCUCCAUGUAGAAGCAAUAACAUUCCUUGCCAGGGGCACCAGCUGUUCUGAUGAUUAAAUGGGAUCAGACACUGUCCUAAAAUCAGUUAUUCAGAUGCCCUUAUUUUAUUUUUUUCCUGUCUGCAAACAAUUAUAAUAUUUAAAAAUGUAA